RNAcentral lists this ribosomal RNA (619 nucleotides) under uncultured bacterium. RNAcentral describes it as "bacterial SSU rRNA". It matches the Rfam family "Bacterial small subunit ribosomal RNA", at positions 338 to 1416 of the family's 1533-position model. The record is from RNAcentral.
CCUACGGGAGGCAGCAGUGAGGAAUAUUGGACAAUGGGCGCAAGCCUGAUCCAGCCAUGCCGCGUGCAGGAUGACGGUCCUAUGGAUUGUAAACUGCUUUUGCACAGGAAGAAACAACGCUACGUGUAGCGUCUUGACGGUACUGUGAGAAUAAGGAUCGGCUAACUCCGUGCCAGCAGCCGCGGUAAUACGGAGGAUCCAAGCGUUAUCCGGAAUCAUUGGGUUUAAAGGGUCCGUAGGCGGUUUAGUAAGUCAGUGGUGAAAGCCCAUCGCUCAACGGUGGAACGGCCAUUGAUACUGCUAGACUUGAAUUAUUAGGAAGUAACUAGAAUAUGUAGUGUAGCGGUGAAAUGCUUAGAGAUUACAUGGAAUACCAAUUGCGAAGGCAGGUUACUACUAAUGGAUUGACGCUGAUGGACGAAAGCGUGGGUAGCGAACAGGAUUAGAUACCCUGGUAGUCCACGCCGUAAACGAUGGAUACUAGCUGUUGGGAGCGAUCUCAGUGGCUAAGCGAAAGUGAUAAGUAUCCCACCUGGGGAGUACGUUCGCAAGAAUGAAACCUUAAAGUAGAAUUAGACGGNGUAGAGACGNGACCGAGGACACGACGGAGGGGUAGAGG